UACGUAGGUGGCGAGCGUUGUCCGGAAUGACUGGGCGUAAAGGGCGUGUAGGCGGCCUUUCAAGUCUGGGGUGAAAACCGGCGGCUCAACCGCCGGCCGGCCCUGGAAACUGGGGGGCUGGAGUGGGCUAGAGGGCAGCGGAAUUCCCGGUGUAGCGGUGAAAUGCGUAGAGAUCGGGAGGAACACCAGUGGCGAAGGCGGCUGCCUGGGGCCUGACUGACGCUGAGGCGCGAAAGCUGGGGGAGCAAACAGG
RNAcentral lists this ribosomal RNA (253 nucleotides) under uncultured bacterium. RNAcentral's name for it is "partial 16S ribosomal RNA". It matches the Rfam family "Bacterial small subunit ribosomal RNA", at positions 524 to 776 of the family's 1533-position model. The record is from RNAcentral.